Non-coding RNA from Phrynosoma platyrhinos (Desert horned lizard), 72 nucleotides. The record is from the annotation of a GenBank genome assembly. NCBI's taxonomy places the organism in Eukaryota, Metazoa, Chordata, Lepidosauria, Squamata, Phrynosomatidae.
GCCAGUGUGGUGUAGUGGUUUGAGUGCUGGGCUGCAACUCUGGAAACCUGGGCUCAAUUCCCAGCUCGGCCA